CUCAUCGGCAGGUUUUGGCCUCCGGCCAUCGAUCUCUCUUCUCUUCAGGUCUCCCCUCGAUCCACCCGCCAGCUGGCUUAUCAUCUGCCGGUGCUCUCGCUCGCUUCUCCUUCCUCCAUCGUCUAUUUAUACGGUCCCCUCUCCUCCUCCUCUGCGUACAAAUCUCUCACACACAUCUCUCUCUCUCUCUCUCUCUCUCUCUCGCGGACCUCAGAAUUCCCUGUGCUCUUCUGUCUGCAAGAUCGCGGGCAUGUUCUCCACAGGCUUUCUUGAACUGUGAACUCGUGCUUGAAUCUCUCUCGGUAAAUUCCGUUUGGAUUAGAUCUCCUUCCGAUCACGAGUUUGUUGCCUUGUUGAUGGUUCAAGAAAGUCCUUGGAAAACAUGACGCGUCUUUCCUUUUUCUUUCUUUUUAAUUCUCCACGUAAGUAUGGACAAAGACAUGGGCCGGUGCUAUCUCCUUCAUCAGCGCGCGGCCAGCCGGAGACAGCCGAUCUGCAGGUUUUAGAUCUACCUUGCGCCUGCGGUGUGUGCCCAAAUGCAUGGUGUAUUUUGAAUUGUUUAUUUUAACCAUCCACUUUUCUAUUAAAUCUGCAUAAUUGGCCAAAUCGAUUUUUUAUUUUUUUAGACCUAACUCAACUGUCUUAUUCUUUAAUUCUUUGAGGGAAUAUUAUAUUUCCUGUAUAUCUAAUUACGUUAUCUUUCUUUUAAAAUUUUCAGGUACAGGUAACACUAUCUAUGCCAUGCUUUAUUAUACCAUGUCAUUUUAAAAUUUUGUUAUUGCUAGAUCUUGCAGUAAAAGCUCAUUUGGCUUAUAUAUAAUAGUUGAGUGGGUAGACUGCAUAUCAGUAACACCAGUUUAAUUCAACAGUAACUGCAGUCGUAAAAAAACAGAAGGUUUCAAUAGUACUGCAGAAAUUCAAGCAAACAAAUUUUGAGUAGCUAACUAGGCCCUACAAGGACAUGUCUUGCGAAUUUGUCCAUUUCCUCUCUCCCUUUCCCUUUUCUUAAUUUUUUGGUUUCGUGAGUUUCGAUGGUGCUUACGUUGAAUUGUGCUUGUUGGCUGUAUCUUCGACUUGAUCAAUUUACGAAAAUCAUUGUACCCAUGCUAUUCACGAUGACAGUAUAUAGUUCCUGGGGAUGUAGAGUUAGCAAAAAGGUUGGAACAUGUAAAGAUCGCUUCAUGGUUCACAUUGAAGUGUUAAUUUGCACCAAAUUUCACAUAUAUAUACCCAAGUGAAAGACUAAAAGGUUUAAAUAUAUGCUUGGUUCGGUUGUUUUGCACCGUGGAUUCAUUUUAGUUGGGCAAACAUUUACUGGCUACAAUAGUCUGUUACGGUUGUGGCGUAAAACAUGCUUUCAACUAUCAAACUCUUAUGCCUAAGCCUAAACAUAGUGAAUUUGCAUGCUUCUGAAAAGCCACCGAGAGAGACACUAUACAUUGUAGUAAUAUACAUGCGUGUAUAACAAUAGAGAGGUGUGUAGGAAUAAUGUCAACCGUAUCUUGGAGAAGAGAGCACCAAAUUCUCGUGAGAGAAGAGAAGAGAAGAAAAGAAAAUGGGUGCCCAUGGCAUGGCAUGCGCCGUCCUUUGCACCAACGGGUGGACCUGGAGCAGCUGCAUCAGAGCAAUGCAUCCAUCGAUGGCUGCCUGCUGAUUUACUGUUGGACUGUACGUUGUUGGUCCAGAAAGAUAGAUGGCGUGCACGGGCGUGCACCAGUGAAAUGGCAGCAGACCACAACGCAGCUCCAGCUCCAACUCUGUACGACGAUCCAUCCAGCUGCUGCUGCUGCUGCUGCUCCGCUCGCUUUUCUUCCCUCGUGUCCCGUCGAUCCAUCCAUCCUUGUCCUCCUGAUCUGUCGCUUCAUUCCAUUUCCACCCCUUUUGUAUUUUUCUCUCGCAUUAUAUUCUUGCUUUCUCCCUCCUGCAACAUUUUAUUUCCAACCCAAUUCAAUUCUGGCGAUCUCAUUGCAUCCUGUAAAUGGGAAUCUGAAUCUGCCAAUUUAUCUACGGAAUUGACGUCCGGCUCUAGUAAUGUAAUGCUGCCUGAACCGGAAAGGCGGAAAACGUCGGAAUCGUCUCGCUGUUGGCACCCACUGUAAUCAUCAAAAGGAAGGAGCCUUCUUUUUUUUUUUAAUCCUCAGCAAGCAUCCAUCGAUGGGCAGAUCCAUCACCCCGUAUCAGAGCUGAAGGAGCAGCGGAACCAAAAGGCUCCUUGCUCAGUGUGCUGUGGUGAGAGAAUUGCAGCGCAGCGCAGCGCAGGGAGAUGAAGUGACAUAACUCUGUCUCCCUGGUCGCUCUUCUGCGCGUGCAUGCAUGCAAUGCAUGCGUAGUAAGUAGAGUAGCUGUUCGAUCCAUCUCUGCUUUGCUUUGCUUUCCCUGUGCUGUGUAGGAGCUGCGAAUUUCAUGCUCUGCUCUGCACGGUAGCAAUGAGCAUGCUGCAUCCAUAUGCACAAGCGUCUUCCUUCCCUCCCUCCUUUCUUUUCAUAUAUGUACAAGCUGCACAGAGAAUUUUCUUCACUGUUUUCUUGCUCCGCCAACCUGUUGCUAUAUAUCUAUGAUAUAAUUAAAGUUCAAGUCCUUAACUGUGUGGAUCAAAUCCUGACGAAGAGUUACCACUGCAUGCUGUAAUGUAAUUGAGUGAUGUUGGCAGUUAGGCCUAUUUUUUAUAAUCUGAAAUUGAAACAGACAGUUAAUAGAAUUAAAUUAUAACAAUUUGGUUCUUAGAUUGCUACAAUCUAACAAUCAAUCUCAUCUGACUAUUUCAGAUUGUGAAGUACGAAAGACUAAAAUACCUAUAUCUUUUGUUGAAACUACCCGCCAUUGCAAUCGGGUUUUCACCCCACCCCGAUGCACCUACAACCCCCACCCAUUCGCCCGAUCGCACCCGACACGUUCCCCUGCUCCUACGAAACCCUAGGCACCACCCCCACCGUCGAAAACCGAGUGCCGCCAUCGAAAGUGCACGGAUCCAGCGCGGAUGGAUCUACUGGACCUCAACACGGAGGCACCCGAGGUCACCGUCACCAUUGCAUUCCAAGACACGUUGCAAGCUCCGAUGGAUGAUGUGGAUGGCUCAUUCCCCAACGCGGAGACCGUUCCCAACGCUUGUUGUCUUCUAGGCGGCGCCGCUGCUCUUCGUCUCGGCGCAGAGGCCUGCCACAGCGCGGUGACCUGCCCUGUUACGGUAGCCCAGCGCGGCUGGGGAGCCUAGGCGUACAAGGCACCGUGCCUCUUCGUCGGCGUGGCUUUCAACAUAGCAGCCGACGUGGCAGUCGUAUCAUCUGUCGGCGCACCAUUUGUAUUUGAGCUUGUUUGUGUUUGAUCUUGCCAUUUGUAUUUGUGUGAUGAGGCACUUGUGAAGUUAUUGAUGUCUUGAAGAAAAUUAGCACUAAUUGAUUAUUUGUUUUGGAUGCUGUUACCAUUCUAGAUGUUGUUACUAUUUUGGAUGCUGUUAAUUGUGGAUAGAUAUUACAGAGAGUUUGGUUAAUAUAUCUUAAUUGUGGAUA
Molecule: long non-coding RNA, 3506 nt
Organism: Phragmites australis (common reed)
Lineage: Eukaryota; Viridiplantae; Streptophyta; Magnoliopsida; Poales; Poaceae
Exons: 2
Source: RefSeq, a predicted model, not a curated record